CGAGUGGGGCAUUCGUGUACUGAGGACACAUUCUUGUUAAUGUCUUGUCCUACGACAUUUUUUUCAUUUAAGGUGGUGUUUUAUGCUAAGAUUGUAAUAUUAGAGAUUGGAGAAAAGUAACAAUUAAAAAACGAAGGUGUUUUCAUUAUAUUUAUAUGCAAUAGACUUGAAACUGAAAUUUGAAGAUAUAUAAGUGCUAUAGUCAGAAUAAAAAAAAA
This 218-nucleotide long non-coding RNA is filed under the name Mytilus galloprovincialis (Mediterranean mussel). The record is from RNAcentral. Lineage: Eukaryota; Metazoa; Mollusca; Bivalvia; Mytilida; Mytilidae.